UUAGCAAGGGCCGGGCAAGACCGGUGCCAGCCGCCGCGGUAAUACCGGCGGCUCGAGUGGUGGCCGAUAUUAUUGAGUCUAAAGGGUCCGUAGCCGGCUUUGCAAGUCUCUCGGGAAAUCCAGCGGCUUAACCGUUGGUCGUCCGGGGGGUACUACAUUGCUUGGGACUGGGAGAGGUAGGAGGUACUCAGGGGGUAGGAGUGAAAUCCUGUAAUCCUUUGGGGACCACCGGUGGCGAAGGCGUCCUACCAGAACAGGUCCGACGGUGAGGGACGAAAGCUAGGGGCACGAACCGGAUUAGAUACCCGGGUAGUCCUAGCCGUAAACGAUGCUCGCUAGGUGUCACAACAGUCGUGAACUGUUGUGGUGCCGUAGGGAAGCCGUGAAGCGAGCCACUUGGGAAGUACGACCGCAAGGUUGAAACUUAAAGGAAUUGGCGGGGGAGCACCACAACGGGUGGAGCCUGCGGUUUAAUUGGACUCAACGCCGGGAAGCUUACCGGGAUCGACAGUUGUAUGAAGGCCAGGCUGAAGACCUUGCCGGACUAUCUGAGAGGUGGUGCAUGGCC
Molecule: ribosomal RNA, 568 nt
Filed under: uncultured archaeon
Lineage: Archaea
Description: bacterial SSU rRNA
Rfam family: Archaeal small subunit ribosomal RNA
Source: RNAcentral